RNAcentral lists this ribosomal RNA (644 nucleotides) under uncultured bacterium. RNAcentral's name for it is "bacterial SSU rRNA". It matches the Rfam family "Bacterial small subunit ribosomal RNA", at positions 202 to 842 of the family's 1533-position model. The record is from RNAcentral.
UAAAGGAAGCGAUUCCGGCUACGGAUGGUCAUGCGUCGCAUUAGCUAGUUGGCGGGGUAACGGCCCACCAAGGCGACGAUGCGUAGGGGUUCUGAGAGGAAGGUCCCCCACACUGGUACUGAGACACGGACCAGACUCCUACGGGAGGCAGCAGUGAGGAAUAUUGGUCAAUGGCCGCAGGGCUGAACCAGCCAAGUCGCGUGAGGGAUGACGGUCCUAUGGAUUGUAAACCUCUUUUGUCAGGGAGCAAAGGGCGCCACGUGUGGCGUUUUGCGAGUACCUGAAGAAAAAGCAUCGGCUAACUCCGUGCCAGCAGCCGCGGUAAUACGGAGGAUGCGAGCGUUAUCCGGAUUUAUUGGGUUUAAAGGGUGCGCAGGCGGAAUGUCAAGUCAGCGGUAAAAUUUCGGGGCUCAACCCCGUCGUGCCGUUGAAACUGGCGUUCUUGAGUGAGCGAGAAGUAUGCGGAAUGCGUGGUGUAGCGGUGAAAUGCAUAGAUAUCACGCAGAACUCCGAUUGCGAAGGCAGCAUACCGGCGCUCAACUGACGCUCAUGCACGAAAGCGUGGGUAUCGAACAGGAUUAGAUACCCUGGUAGUCCACGCAGUAAACGAUGAAUACUAACUGUCCGGGCCGAUUGAGGUCUGG